AGAAGGGAAAUGAAAAAGAGAGUCAGACGCAAGAGAAACGUCCCCAGAAGGUGGUUUACAGCGCUCGCCCGUCUUCCUCCCUCAGGAUCCUUCCAGACAAAGCCAACUAUUUCCUGGGAAAGAUCGCCGGCGUUACCGUCAUGAUGGACAACUUUGUCGGCAGGAGCAAGAGUCGCUAGGGACCUGCGAGAUAAGUCUUCGAUACCGUCACAAAGCGAGCGCAAGAAUGAAUCAGGGAGAACAAUGGAACAUCACUGCUGGCAUUUGCGAUGUUAUUUUGACAUUCCAUUAGAUUAGUGAUUCUCAACCCUUCCUCUGUCAUUUACCCCUUCGCCUGGAACUACUUUACCCCCUUAUUUGCAUAAAAAAGGAAUGGAAUACCUGGCAUAAGCGUAAAAAAACAGUUGUGGUUAUUAAGAUUUUUUUUUAUGAAUUAAUAUUGAUAAAAAGAAAGAUAUAGCUAUUGUCCAUUUGGUUUUAAAAAGCCAGAGGCAUCAUCAUUUGAUUCAUUAAGUCAUCCACUUUACUCACUUAAAGUUACCACGCGAACACCACGUGGCAAUAUCCGUCGCUCCCGCCCUCCGUACUAAUAUAGAUUUACCCUCUGCCAUGUAGAAUUUUUUACCCCAGCGGAUAACGUAACCCCCGGAUGAGAAUCACUGCCUUAUAUAUACAUAUAUGCUUUGUCGCGAACACAUCAGAAUUUUCGAAACUCGAAAUAUCGCAACUACCGACUCUUAAAGUAUUUUUCUUAAUGUCCAACCUUUUGGCUCUCGAAGCUAUUCAGUAACAUUAAUCGCAGCUGACUCUGUAUCUCCGUCAACUCCGCAGCAAAUGUUUAGAAAUCCGAAUCAUUCACUGAAAUCUGAAUUACUCACUGAAACUGCCAGUCGCUGUAAAUGUCAGUCCUUUCAAAUGUCUGCAAUAAAGGAAUGGCACAUUAA
Molecule: long non-coding RNA, 944 nt
Organism: Penaeus indicus
Lineage: Eukaryota; Metazoa; Arthropoda; Malacostraca; Decapoda; Penaeidae
Exons: 2
Source: RefSeq, a predicted model, not a curated record